GAUGAACGCUGGCGGCGUGCCUAAUACAUGCAAGUCGAGCGAACAGACGAGGAGCUUGCUCCUCUGACGUUAGCGGCGGACGGGUGAGUAACACGUGGAUAACCUACCUAUAAGACUGGGAUAACUUCGGGAAACCGGAGCUAAUACCGGAUAAUAUAUUGAACCGCAUGGUUCAAUAGUGAAAGACGGUUUUGCUGUCACUUAUAGAUGGAUCCGCGCCGCAUUAGCUAGUUGGUAAGGUAACGGCUUACCAAGGCAACGAUGCGUAGCCGACCUGAGAGGGUGUCCGCCCAACCUGGAACGAGACACGGGUCCAACCCCUAAGGGGGGGCACAAGAGGGAAUUCUUCCGAAAGGGGCAAAGCCCUGAGGAGGCAACCCCGGGGAGGGAAGAAAGUUUUUCGGUUCGUAAAACUUUUUUUUUAGGAAAAAACAAAUUUUAAAGUAACUAUCCACUUUUUACCGGUACCAAAUCAAAAAGCCCCGGCAAACUCCGG
RNAcentral lists this ribosomal RNA (496 nucleotides) under uncultured bacterium. Its description in RNAcentral is "partial 16S ribosomal RNA". It matches the Rfam family "Bacterial small subunit ribosomal RNA", at positions 28 to 506 of the family's 1533-position model. The record is from RNAcentral.